UUUCAUUACUUCACCUGCCUUCUAUUAUUUUAUGAUGGACCUGACAGAUGCAAUAUAAAUGUCCAGUCUCCAUACACAUUAACAGAAGGCCAAACACCAUCUACAAUCACAUGUCAGUCAGAUUGUUUUCCUUCCUGCUCAUACAAGUGGACAAAUAGUUCAACAGGAAAAGUGGUUGGGUCAAAGGGAGACUUUCAGAUUGACACAGUGACAAGAUAUGAGGCAGGAAAUUACACGUGCACUUGUUACAAUACCGCUACCAUAGAUACACCCGCAACUACAACUCUGCAAGUCAUCGUUACAUUUGCAUCAUUUUUCAUCGAAGAACACAAAGGCGAGACAAAUGUAUCUGUUGAUGAAAAUGAAACUGAUGUACACUUUAAGUGUGAAAUUGACAGUUACCCAGGAUCAAAAGUCCAAAAAUUGUUCCAAGACGUUUUACUGAAAGAGACUUAUCAGUCAAACAGUCUGACGUUCACUCGUAGCAGCAUCACGUGCUCCCAUACUGGCGUUUAUCCUUGUAAAGGAGACAAUCAGCACAGUCAGUCUCCUAGCUCAAACAUCAACUUAUUCGUGAGAUGCUCCCCACGACCACUUCAUCAGAUAAAACAAAAUAAAACAAGUGCACUGUAUGUUCCUGCGACACUAACCUUGACAACAAUAGCAUACCCAGAGCCCGGUCCAACAGGAUUCCUUUGGCACAAAGAAAGUGGAGUGUAAUGGAUGCCGUUGUUGAGCAAUAAUGAUUUGCUGGUAUCAUCAUCGGGAUUACACUCUAAUUUGACUAUACUAAAUGUAACACAGUUAGAUUACGGACGCUACAAGGUGACAGCUACGAAUGAUAUUGGCAGUUAUGUACAAUACAUUUUUCUGUUAAAAGAAGAUAUACAAACAUAUACAACUGAAACUUGCGAAGUGGAAACUAAUAAGACGGGAACUAUCCUUGGCAUUUUUUUGGCAUACUGAGUGCAGGUCUUCUUGUUUACGCAAUUUAUCUUACUAUUUUGCUUAAAAGAAGAUCUACUGAAAAAGGAAAACAGACGACAGAAGAUCAGAAUACACGAGUGACUUAUAUUAACGUAGCAGAAGAAGGUACAGUGAAACACAUUAAUGACUCAAGUGGAAACAAAGACGACUCUGCUAAAUUGUAUACAGAAUUAGCGCAAUAUUCAAAGGAUGACAAGUCAACAUAUGAUGUUAUUCAAAAGAAUUAGAGGGAACGCUUGAUAAAAAAAAUCAUGAUUUUGGCAUCUCUUGACAAUUUGUUUCAUCAUAUCUUGCUUCAGCUAUAGCAGCUAGUUUAUUGAAGCGAUGUAAAACUAGGAAAAGUCGUAUUUGACGUAUUCAGACAAAACCCGUUUUAAAAUAUUCACAUGGCUAAUCAAUUUUAAGAAUUGUAAAGUUGACAACUUUUGCUCUUGUUGUGUUAGUUUGUGUUGGAUUUAACGCGGUUUUUAACAGUAUUUCAUGUAACGACGGGCGUUUAACCUAACCUUGUGUUCAUGGAUUCUGUACUUGUACAAAGUGUUCUCCACAAGCAACCGCAAACAUGAAUCAGAGGUGGAGGACAGUUGAUUUCGAAAACAGUGUCUUUCAUCAAAUCGUCACGGAGAACAUACUCAUCGGUCGGGGAUCUAACUCACGACCAUUAGACCUGCGCUCUCCCUAUUGAGCUUAGUUGGUGGGUUCUUUGCUCUUGUAGUUUGGCUGUUCUAAGAGUUUAUAAGGAAAAAUAUGGAAUUGUUGAAUCAUAACCCAUGAGAAUGAAACCUUUCUUUCAGUACUUGACAGAAACCAAUAGUAUCUAUUAUUUAUAUAAGAAUAUAGUUUCUUCUUGUUAAUAUUAGAUCAUGGAUAUUAACUUGAAACUUGUGUAGAGAUGGUGCCUAAACAAGUUGAAUUCGAUUUUACAGGGGGUUUUUUUCUGUGUGAAAUGAUUGAUAAGUGCACCAAUAUACUAAAUAUAUAUAUUUAUGUUUUUCCGCUUCUCUUUGUAAAAACAGAAAUAAUUGACAUUUUAAGAAAUACCAUCUAUGGACAUCUAAUUUAAAGCGAAAUGUCUUGUAUUGAUUGUAUUGAUUGCUUUUCAUGGAUUUUGGGAUUUCCGGAAUUAUAGACUAUAUCAAAAAUCUCCAUAAAUUCAAAAGUUUAGUCUGCUUUCAAUUCUUUGUAAGAGCCUUACCCCGCUUACAGAGUUUGCAACAAUAAAAAACACUAGUACAACUUAUUGGAGGCAGUAGACUCGUAAAGAAAAUCAGCAAAGUAUGUAUAUUCGUAUGCUAUUCCGAAUUUUCUCGGAAAGCAACGAGCGCGCUAAGCUAUAGUUAUGUCCGAACAAUGCCGAAUUGCUUACGAGAUUACACAAUCAUAUGGAAAUUGCAGAGUGUCUUUACAGAUUUAAAAUACCCUAAUAUUGAUGUCCGCAGCCAUGCGUGUAAAAUUAUACUGUUUGCAGCUAAUCUCUCCUGAACAGUCAGUGAAAUGCUUCAAAAAUGUGUAAAACAUCUAAAGCAGUUUCAAAAUGCUGAAAUGAAAUGAUUAAUAUAACAACAUUGUACGUGGGUUGUUACACGUAUGUGAACUAGUUUUAGCUUUUUGUGACUUCGCAUUGUUGGAUAUACAUGUACAUUAUACGUUUCAUAUCAAAGUUUUUGUAAACAAAGUUAUUCUUGGUAAGAGCAAAACAAUACAUUUAGUUAAAAAGCCAAAACUUAAAAUAUUCGCAUUAACAAUUCUUAAAGUUGUACAAUUUCUUGAAUGAAAUUUAUGCAUUUUCAAUCUUGAUACACUACUAAACCUUUUAGUAGGGCCACAACACGACGUAUAAAAUAACUGUUACGAGUUCAGUUCAGUAUGCAUGCUCAAAAUAUAGAUGACAUAAACCCAUAUUCC
This is a long non-coding RNA of Mercenaria mercenaria, 2892 nucleotides long. RefSeq lists it as uncharacterized. The record is from RefSeq and is a predicted model, not a curated record. Lineage: Eukaryota; Metazoa; Mollusca; Bivalvia; Venerida; Veneridae. The transcript has 6 exons.